RNAcentral lists this ribosomal RNA (253 nucleotides) under uncultured prokaryote. Its description in RNAcentral is "partial 16S ribosomal RNA". It matches the Rfam family "Bacterial small subunit ribosomal RNA", at positions 524 to 776 of the family's 1533-position model. The record is from RNAcentral.
UACAGAGGUCUCAAGCGUUGUUCGGAUUCAUUGGGCGUAAAGGGUGCGUAGGUGGCGUCGUAAGUCGGGUGUGAAAUUUCGGAGCUUAACUCCGAAACUGCAUUCGAUACUGCGGUGCUUGAGGACUGGAGAGGAGACUGGAAUUUACGGUGUAGCGGUGAAAUGCGUAGAUAUCGUCAAGAACACCGAUAGCGAAGGCAGCCAACUAGGGGUUAACUGACGCUGAGGCACGAAAGUGCGGGGAUCAAACAGG